RNAcentral lists this transfer RNA (84 nucleotides) under Ceramothamnion japonicum. RNAcentral's name for it is "Ceramium japonicum tRNA-Leu". It matches the Rfam family "tRNA". From Rfam's summary of the family: Transfer RNA (tRNA) molecules are approximately 80 nucleotides in length. Their secondary structure includes four short double-helical elements and three loops (D, anti-codon, and T loops). The record is from RNAcentral. Lineage: Eukaryota; Rhodophyta; Florideophyceae; Ceramiales; Ceramiaceae.
ACUCGCUUGGUGAAAUGGUAAACACGAUGGAUUUAAAAUCCAUUCUUGAUUUUUAAGUUAUUGGUUCAAGUCCAAUAGCGAGUA